Molecule: unclassified non-coding RNA, 21 nt
Filed under: Dictyostelium discoideum
Lineage: Eukaryota; Evosea; Eumycetozoa; Dictyosteliales; Dictyosteliaceae
Source: RNAcentral
GGCAGGGAUAACUGGCUUGUG